AAGGAUCCUUGACUUUGGGAUACAGCCAUUUAUAUACAGUCUAUGGCUACAGCUCAUGAGCUAAUGUUAAGACAGUUGGUAGAGCUAAACACCUGAAGUCACCAUCAUCAUUUACAAGCAACAUUCCGAAAAUGUUUUGGACCCAACAUAAGUAAUGUUUUAGGCAAAGAACUGGACUCCCCCUCAGACCUGCAGCCUGUGUCCCUGUGGAGGAGUGCUGUGGAUGUUUCUGGAGGACAGGGCUUUAAUGGACAGGUCAGAAUGUUCAGCAGAGUACACAACUGUGAUGACAGCCUCUCUCCACCCUCCA
This is a long non-coding RNA of Centropristis striata (black sea bass), 310 nucleotides long. RefSeq lists it as uncharacterized. NCBI's taxonomy places the organism in Eukaryota, Metazoa, Chordata, Actinopteri, Perciformes, Serranidae. The record is from RefSeq and is a predicted model, not a curated record. The transcript has 3 exons.